RNAcentral lists this ribosomal RNA (253 nucleotides) under uncultured bacterium. Its description in RNAcentral is "partial 16S ribosomal RNA". It matches the Rfam family "Bacterial small subunit ribosomal RNA", at positions 524 to 776 of the family's 1533-position model. The record is from RNAcentral.
UACGAAGGGGGCUAGCGUUGCUCGGAAUCACUGGGCGUAAAGGGUGCGUAGGCGGGUCUUUAAGUCAGGGGUGAAAUCCUGGAGCUCAACUCCAGAACUGCCUUUGAUACUGGCGAUCUUGAGUCCGGGAGAGGUGAGUGGAACUCCGAGUGUAGAGGUGAAAUUCGUAGAUAUUCGGAAGAACACCAGUGGCGAAGGCGGCCCACUGGCCCGGUACUGACGCUGAUGUGCGAAAGCGUGGGGAGCAAACAGG